GUUGUGGAUGCAUAAGAAAGACUGCACUGGAAGGAAAAAAAUAUAGUCUUCAAGCCCCUUUCUCAUCCACCAGAGACGCUGCGGUUCCAGGACUCCACCUCAAUGGCGGGAAAACCGCAACCUGCACUGCUGCUGCUAAGUCACUUCAGUCGUGCCCGACUCUGUGCGACCCCAUAGACGGCAGCCCACCAGGCUCCCCUGUCCCUGGGAUUCUCCAGGCAAGAACACUGGAGUGGGUUGCCAUUUCCUUCUCCAAUGCAUGAGAGUGAAAAAUGAAAGUGAAGUUGCUCAGUCGUGUCCGACUCUUAGCGACCCCAUGGACUGUGUAGCCCACCAGGCUCCUCCAUCCAUGGGAUUUUCCAGGCAAGAGUACUAGAGUGGGGUGCCAUUGCCUUCUCCGGCAACCUGCACUGCACACGCCCAACUCAGUGAGCAUGCGCAGUGUGUGCGGGCGCAUCCGUUGCUGCGCAUGCGCCUUGGUGCGCAUACGCCUUCCUGAGCGAUCUGUGAGGAGCGUUGGGCGUGAGACGGGUCUGUUUAUUCAGUCCCGGUUCUUUCUCACUACUUGAGACUCACCAGGGAGAAAUAUGAGUGGGCAAGUGGCAUCAAAAUUGGGACCUACAAAUCAAGAUUGCGCCCAGGUGGAUGAACCUGUGGUUCCCAGUGUUGAGCAACCUCAACAAGAGGAACCGCCAGCUGAGAUUCAGGAUAUCACACCUAGAAAGGAGGAAGUACAUGGAGAGGAUCCAGUGAAUCGUGAUGAAGAAGAGGAGAAGGAUCCCUUUGAAGAUUCUGGCCUGGAAGCUGAUCUCCAGCAAUUGGCUCUGGCAAAGACUGGGGGUGAAGGUGGAGAUGGUCCUGAUGUCAGGGAGGAGUUUGCAUCAAAUACAGAGCCUGGUGAAAUGCCAGAAGCAGGUAUGUCAUCCAUUCAGAAAGUAAUUUAUGUGGUUUCUGUUUUUCAGAAUAUUAUAUCUUUACUAAUAUAGAGGGAACAUUACUAUUAUUUUAAUAAUAGAGUUCACAUAUUCUUUGAAAGAUAGUUCAGACCCCAGAUGCCUGAGUGCCUGACUUAUAGACUUCAAAUAAAGAAACGGACAGGAUCA
RNAcentral lists this long non-coding RNA (1103 nucleotides) under Bos indicus x Bos taurus (hybrid cattle). Its description in RNAcentral is "lncRNA (ENSBIXG00005006980.1)". The record is from RNAcentral. Lineage: Eukaryota; Metazoa; Chordata; Mammalia; Artiodactyla; Bovidae.